GACGAACGCUGGCGGCGUGCCUAAUACAUGCAAGUAGAACGCUGAAGAGAGGAGCUUGCUCUUCUUGGAUGAGUUGCGAACGGGUGAGUAACGCGUAGGUAACCUGCCUUGUAGCGGGGGAUAACUAUUGGAAACGAUAGCUAAUACCGCAUAACAAUGGAUGACACAUGUCAUUUAUUUGAAAGGGGCAAUUGCUCCACUACAAGAUGGACCUGCGUUGUAUUAGCUAGUAGGUGAGGUAAUGGCUCACCUAGGCGACGAUACAUAGCCGACCUGAGAGGGUGAUCGGCCGCACUGGGACUGAGACACGGCCCAGACUCCUACGGGAGGCAGCAGUAGGGAAUCUUCGGCAAUGGGGGCAACCCUGACCGAGCAACGCCGCGUGAGUGAAGAAGGUUUUCGGAUCGUAAAGCUCUGUUGUAAGUCAAGAACGGGUGUGAGAGUGGAAAGUUCACACUGUGACGGUAGCUUACCAGAAAGGGACGGCUAACUACGUG
RNAcentral lists this ribosomal RNA (497 nucleotides) under uncultured bacterium. RNAcentral's name for it is "partial 16S ribosomal RNA". It matches the Rfam family "Bacterial small subunit ribosomal RNA", at positions 28 to 507 of the family's 1533-position model. The record is from RNAcentral.